AUGCUCACUUCAGCAGCACAUAGACUAAAGCUGGAAAAAUACAGAGAAGAUUAGCACAGCCCCUGUGCGAGGAUGACAUGCAGACUUGUGAAGGAUCCCAUAUAUAA
Molecule: small nuclear RNA, 107 nt
Organism: Peromyscus maniculatus bairdii (prairie deer mouse)
Lineage: Eukaryota; Metazoa; Chordata; Mammalia; Rodentia; Cricetidae
Source: Ensembl